Molecule: non-coding RNA, 72 nt
Filed under: unclassified sequences
Description: DUF3800-IX RNA
Rfam family: DUF3800-IX RNA
About the family: Actinobacteria, Firmicutes (1 example), Nitrospirae, Proteobacteria, Verrucomicrobia (1 example). Nearby to DUF3800
Source: Rfam by way of RNAcentral
CCGCCCUCGGCGAAAGGUUGCCAUGUGAGGUGACCUUCUCAAGCAAGACUUGAGAUAGCCGAGGGUGUUUUA